RNAcentral lists this ribosomal RNA (492 nucleotides) under uncultured bacterium. RNAcentral's name for it is "bacterial SSU rRNA". It matches the Rfam family "Bacterial small subunit ribosomal RNA", at positions 355 to 859 of the family's 1533-position model. The record is from RNAcentral.
UGGGGAAUCUUGCACAAUGGGCGAAAGCCUGAUGCAGCAACGCCGCGUGCGGGAAGACAGCCCUAGGGUUGUAAACCGCUUUCAGCAGGGAAGAAACUGACGGUACCUGCAGAAGAAGAUGCGGCCAACUACGUGCCAGCAGCCGCGGUGACACGUAGGCAUCAAGCGUUAUCCGGAUUUAUUGGGCGUAAAGAGCUCGUAGGCGGUUCGGUAAGUCGGGUGUGAAAACUCUGGGCUCAACCCAGAGAGGCCACUCGAUACUGCUGUGACUAGAGUGCGGUAGGGGGAGCGGGGAAUUCCUGGUGUAGCGGUGAAAUGCGCAGAUAUCAGGAGGAACACCAGUGGCGAAGGCGCCGCUCUGGGCCGUAACUGACGCUGAGGAGCGAAAGCAUGGGUAGCAAACAGGAUUAGAUACCCUGGUAGUCCAUGCCGUAAACGUUGGGCACUAGGUGUGGGUCUCAACCGAACGAGAUCCGCGCCGUCGCUAACGCA